Molecule: ribosomal RNA, 465 nt
Filed under: uncultured bacterium
Lineage: Bacteria
Description: partial 16S ribosomal RNA
Rfam family: Bacterial small subunit ribosomal RNA
Source: RNAcentral
CCUACGGGAGGCAGCAGUAGGGAAUCUUCCACAAUGGGCGAAAGCCUGAUGGAGCAACGCCGCGUGGGUGAAGAAGGUCUUCGGAUCGUAAAACCCUGUUGUUAGAGAAGAAAGUGCGUGAGAGUAACUGUUUACGUUUCGACGGUAUCUAACCAGAAAGCCACGGCUAACUACGUGCCAGCAGCUGCGGUAAUACGUAGGUGGCAAGCGUUAUCCGGAUUUAUUGGGCGGAAAGGGAACGCAGACGGUCUUUUAAGUCUGAUGUGAAAGCGUUCGGCUUAACCGGAGUAGUGCAUUGGAGACUGGGAGACUUGAGUGCAGAAGAGGAGGGUGGAACUCCAUGUGUAGCGGUGAAAUGCGUAGAUAUAUGGAAGAACACCAAUGGCGAAAGCGGCUCUCUGGUCUGUAACUGACGCUGAGGUUCGAAAGCGUGGGUAGCAAACAGGAUUAGAUACCCUAGUAGUC